Long non-coding RNA from Brassica napus (rape), 2375 nucleotides. RefSeq lists it as uncharacterized. The record is from RefSeq and is a predicted model, not a curated record. Lineage: Eukaryota; Viridiplantae; Streptophyta; Magnoliopsida; Brassicales; Brassicaceae. The transcript is spliced from 2 exons.
UAAUCACCCUUAAUCUCCCUAGCCCAUGAAUUCAAAAGAUGAUUACUCACUAAUCUCCAUGAUUCCUCUUAAACCCAUAUUGGAUUUCAAAUUAAUCAUCUAGAGAAAUAGAUAAGAAAUCAACAAGAACACAAGAUGAAAGCAAUGAAAUCUGAAUCAAAAGAAGUUUUACUAGUUGUUCUCCCGAAAAGAGAUCCCCUUUUGCCUGGUGGCUACCAAAGGUACUUAAAACAUAGGUUUUGAAAAAUAAAAAACGUGCAUGAUGAAAUGACCAAAAGGCCCUUGAGAAAACAUGAAUUCGGCCAAACAAAUUGACGCGGAGCGACCUUGGCACGUCGCUGCGAGAGGUCGCUCCCGGGUCGUUUCUUCGCGAGCGACCUGGUUGUGUCGCUCCGAAGACGUUGCUCCUGGGUCGUCUCCUCGCGAGCGACCUGGCUGUGUCGCUCUGAAGACGUCGCUCCCGGCUUGCUCGUCGCUCUCAAAUUGACACAACCCGAGCGACCUCUGGGUGUCGCUGUGGUGAGGUCGCUCUAGGAGCUGGAGCGACUUCGCCUUGUCGCUCUAGGAGGUCGCUCCGAAGCGUAAAUGGCUAGCGAGUUCAUGGCGUCACUCCGGUAGGUCGCUCCCAUGCAUUGCUCGUCCAAUGAUCAUCUUAAUCACCUCUUUUGAGCUCCAAACGCACCCAAAUGUCUCCAAGAACUCCAUGUGGUACUCCAAUACCUGAUAAAGACUCAUGUAUGCAAAAUGCAACCUAAACAUGGCUAAAUCCUAGUCUAUAUGAUCAAAAUGCACAUGGGUGAAUGGAUAAAACAAUGUAAAUAUGCAAGAUAUCACGAGCCACCUAAUUUAUUCAGAUCUUCUCCUUGCAAACACAUCCUACAACAACGGUGACCUCUCAACUCCUUCGGAAAGAUUUGAAGUCUGCAAUGGCUCCCACUGCUUCGUCUUCAAUUCUAUAUCACACUGUCCCUCUUCUACAAUACUAAAAGUUUGUAUAUAUAUAGAUCCACAAAAAGUUGUUUCCAUUUUAUUGUCGUUCUUUAUUUUCGUACCAUAUUAUCUCUCUCUAACUCACCAGUUAUAACUAUGAUGAAUCCACAGGUUCUUUCCGGUGAGUUGAAGGCAGGCCGGCGUCGUAAGACUGUGGUCACCCAUGUUUUACGUUCCUGGGAAGCAAGGAAUGUCAAGAAGGGGGGGUGAUCUUAUGGGUGUGUACUUGGUUUUGCUUGAUGAAAAGGUACGAAGGUACUUGACCUUACAUUUUAUUUUGUUUUUUUCUAAGUCUAGAAAUACAUAUAAGUUUUAUCCGUCCUGCUACAGAGAUAGCACAUAUACAUGUAAUAGCUCUGUUUUAAAUACAGUUUAAACCGUGAGUGCCCUGAUAAAUAUACAUGUUUUCUUAUAUAUUAGGAUCACAUACUCAGGACACAUAUGCUGAGAAAGCCCAUGAGAGACCACUGCCAGGAUUCCUAGACGAGUUAAUGGGAAGAACCAUCAGGUGAUGCUAUCUGAGUUCAACUUCACAACAAAGCUCAUCUUUGACCCUAAAUUAUUUGCCUAAAACACUAUGUGAUAAAUGAGGCCUUGGUUACACCCUGACUAUCUCACUAUCCACCCUACAACAGAUGAGAGGGGAAGAAGAGAUAAAGUAACUGUUGCGUUAUUUAGUUAUUGAUGGUCACGUCCUCUGCUCAUAAACAAAAACUCACAGUUCACCGAUUCACAUGUUUCAGGCUAGCUUGCCCGUCAAAUUAGGAAGGAACAUCGGCGUAUAAGACAGCAUUACCAAGUUGACCAAGGCCCAUUUUCUCUUAAAUAAUCAUUACACUCAUUUCCUGAGAGAACACAUUCUAAACACCACAUAACCAUUUACUUUUUUUUGUUAUUCAGAUAUGGGACUUCAGCCACAUAACCAACACGAACAAGUCAUCACUCAAUCUGAUAACGAAAGCUUACUACCAGCCUUCCAGGCUACACCUUUGGCUUCUACUGACAACAUGAACACAUGCAACACUGCACUGUACACCUUCAGCUUCAUGUCACGUGUUGCAGAAGCCUCACGCUGCGAUCUAAGCCAAUGUAUACACAAGGUGAUAAGAAAUCAUUAAAAAUCGAUGUGCUUACAGAAAGCUUGAACCUGAUGGAGCUGGCCAAACAUCAAAUACGCGGACAACCAGACAGAAAAGUUCAUUUAUGAAGACAUGCCUCAUCCACAACAAACCUGGAGCUCAGUACAUUGUAGGCAUGGAAGGGUACUUUCUGUAUAAAAACAUCGACAAGGCUCAGAGCAUGACUUAGAAAAUUUAGGGGGUUCUAUUAAAAAAAACCAGACACUUUUCAAGAAUAUAAUGAAUAAAAAUCUUUAUUUCAAAUCA